UACAGAGGGGGCAAGCGUUGUUCGGAAUUACUGGGCGUAAAGGGCGCGUAGGCGGCCUCUUAAGUCGAACGUGAAAUCCCCGGGCUCAACCCGGGAACUGCGUCCGAUACUGGGGGGCUUGAAUCCGGGAGAGGGAUGUGGAAUUCCAGGUGUAGCGGUGAAAUUCGUAGAUAUCUGGAGGAACACCGGUGGCGAAGGCGGCAUCCUGGACCGGUAUUGACGCUGAGGCGCGAAAGCCAGGGGAGCAAACGGG
RNAcentral lists this ribosomal RNA (253 nucleotides) under uncultured bacterium. RNAcentral's name for it is "partial 16S ribosomal RNA". It matches the Rfam family "Bacterial small subunit ribosomal RNA", at positions 524 to 776 of the family's 1533-position model. The record is from RNAcentral.